RNAcentral lists this unclassified non-coding RNA (329 nucleotides) under soil metagenome. Its description in RNAcentral is "partial contains 5.8S ribosomal RNA, internal transcribed spacer 2, and large subunit ribosomal RNA". The stretch from base 1 to 120 matches the Rfam family "5.8S ribosomal RNA", at positions 35 to 154 of the family's 154-position model. The record is from RNAcentral.
GAUGAAGAACGUAGCAAAAUGCGAUAAGUAAUGUGAAUUGCAGAAUUCAGUGAAUCAUCGAAUCUUUGAACGCACAUUGCGCCCCUUGGUAUUCCGAGGGGCAUGCCUGUUCGAGCGUCAUUAUAACCCCUCAAGCUCAGCUUGGUAUUGGGGCCUGCCAUCCUGGCAGCCCUUAAAAUCAGUGGCGGUGCCAUCCGGCUCUAAGCGUAGUAACUCCUCUCGCUAUGGAGUCCUGGUGGAUGCUUUGCCAUUAAUCUUUUAACUUCUAUGGUUGACCUCGGAUCAGGUAGGGAUACCCGCUGAACUUAAGCAUAUCAAUAAGCGGAGGA